UGAGGAAUAUUGGACAAUGGGCGAAAGCCUGAUCCAGCCAUGCCGCGUGUGUGAAGAAGGUCUUCGGAUUGUAAAGCACUUUAAGUUGGGAGGAAGGGCAGUUACCUAAUACGUGAUUGUUUUGACGUUACCGACAGAAUAAGCACCGGCUAACUCUGUGCCAGCAGCCGCGGUAAUACAGAGGGUGCAAGCGUUAAUCGGAAUUACUGGGCGUAAAGCGCGCGUAGGUGGUUAGUUAAGUUGGAUGUGAAAUCCCCGGGCUCAACCUGGGAACUGCAUUCAAAACUGACUGACUAGAGUAUGGUAGAGGGUGGUGGAAUUUCCUGUGUAGCGGUGAAAUGCGUAGAUAUAGGAAGGAACACCAGUGGCGAAGGCGACCACCUGGACUGAUACUGACACUGAGGUGCGAAAGCGUGGGGAGCAAACAGGAUUAGAUACCCCCGUAGUCCCUGAGCGGGCUGGCAAGGCGCAU
This 472-nucleotide ribosomal RNA is filed under the name uncultured bacterium. RNAcentral's name for it is "bacterial SSU rRNA". It matches the Rfam family "Bacterial small subunit ribosomal RNA", at positions 355 to 825 of the family's 1533-position model. The record is from RNAcentral.